This is a non-coding RNA of Caenorhabditis elegans, 71 nucleotides long. Lineage: Eukaryota; Metazoa; Nematoda; Chromadorea; Rhabditida; Rhabditidae. The record is from the annotation of a RefSeq genome assembly.
GUUUACCUGUGCAGUGGCAGAGCGUCUGUCUCGUAAACAGAAGGUCGGCGGUUCAAUCCCGCCUGGGGGCA